Rhinichthys klamathensis goyatoka is the source of this 604-nucleotide non-coding RNA. Lineage: Eukaryota; Metazoa; Chordata; Actinopteri; Cypriniformes; Leuciscidae. The record is from the annotation of a RefSeq genome assembly.
GAGUGUGUUUGCAUAUUGAUCAGAUCUUCAGUGUGUGAGAGUGUUUAUAGUGCUGUGAGUUUAACACUUCAUCACUGACACACACAACAAUCUUCAUCAACAUGACCUUCAUCAUCAUCUUCAUCUGGACUCUCACAGCGUUUGCUCAAGAGUGUAGAGGACAGAUCACCGUCACUCAGAGUCCCUCAAUAACAGCAGAACAACCAGGAGGAACUGUGAAUAUCAAAUGUAAAACCAGCAGUGAUGUACUCAGGGAUGGUGAUGAGGAUGAUUAUUUAUUCUGGUACUUACAGAAACCUGGAGAAGCUCCUAAACUCCUGAUUCGUUAUGUAAAAAAACUCCAGUCAGGAACUCCAUCUAGAUUCAGUGGCAGUGGAUCUAACAGUGAUUUCACUCUGAGCAUCAGUGGAGUCCAGACUGAAGAUGCUGGACAUUAUUACUGUCAGAGUUAUCACAGUGGUGGUGUGUUCACACAGUGAUAAAGAGUCGUACAAAAACCUCGGUCAGUCAGAGUCACAGUGACUGAACUGAAACUGCAGCUGCUCAAAGGAGGAUCUGAAAUAACAUCGUCACACUUGCAUCUGAAAUAAAACCAUCUAAAUUA